GAUGAACGCUGGCGGCGUGCCUAACACAUGCAAGUCGAACGGAACUUACUGAGGAAGCCUUUCGGGGUGGAACCUAUAAGUUUAGUGGCGGACGGGUGAGUAACGCGUGAGCAAUCUGCCUUUAAGAGGGGGACAACAGCUGGAAACGGCUGCUAAUACCGCAUAAAAUAUACUGUGGGCAUCCACGGUAUAUCAAAGGAGCAAUCCGCUUAAAGAUGAGCUCGCGUCCCAUUAGCUAGUUGGUGAGGGUAAAGGCCCACCAAGGCGACGAUGGGUAGCCGGACUGAGAGGUUGAACGGCCACAUUGGGACUGAGACACGGCCCAGACUCCUACGGGAGGCAGCAGUGGGGAAUAUUGCGCAAUGGGGGAAACCCUGACGCAGCAACGCCGCGUGAUUGAAGAAGGCCUUCGGGUUGUAAAGAUCUUUAAUCAGGGACGAAUAAGAUGACGGUACCUGAAGAAUAAGCUCCGGCUAACUACGUGCCAGCCGCCGCCGUAAUAC
RNAcentral lists this ribosomal RNA (503 nucleotides) under uncultured bacterium. RNAcentral's name for it is "bacterial SSU rRNA". It matches the Rfam family "Bacterial small subunit ribosomal RNA", at positions 28 to 526 of the family's 1533-position model. The record is from RNAcentral.